GCUGCCAUAUCACAUUGAAACACCAGUUCUCAUAUGAUCACUGAAGUUAAGCAAAAUCAAGCCUGGUCAGUACCUAGAUGGGUGACCGCUUGGGAAAGCCAGGUGCU
This is a non-coding RNA of Acanthosepion pharaonis, 107 nucleotides long. NCBI's taxonomy places the organism in Eukaryota, Metazoa, Mollusca, Cephalopoda, Sepiida, Sepiidae. The record is from the annotation of a GenBank genome assembly.